UCCGGCUUAUCACCGGCGGUUUCCUUAGAGUUCCCAACUAAAUGAUGGCAACUAAGGACGAGGGUUGCGCUCGUUGCGGGACUUAACCCAACAUCUCACGACACGAGCUGACGACAACCAUGCACCACCUGUAAACCGGCCACAAGUGGCUGACACAUCUCUGCAUCAUUCCGGUUCAUGUCAAGCCUUGGUAAGGUUCUUCGCGUUGCAUCGAAUUAAUCCGCAUGCUCCGCCGCUUGUGCGGGCCCCCGUCAAUUCCUUUGAGUUUUAGCCUUGCGGCCGUACUCCCCAGGCGGGGCGCUUAAUGCGUUAGCUACGGCACGGAAUCCGUUGAUAAGACCCCACACCUAGUGCCCAACGUUUACGGCGUGGACUAC
This 377-nucleotide unclassified non-coding RNA is filed under the name uncultured Actinomycetes bacterium. RNAcentral describes it as "uncultured actinobacterium contains 16S-23S intergenic spacer region". The record is from RNAcentral. Lineage: Bacteria; Bacillati; Actinomycetota; Actinomycetes.